AGUGAACGCUGGCGGUAGGCCUAACACAUGCAAGUCGAACGGCAGCACAGUAAGAGCUUGCUCUUACGGGUGGCGAGUGGCGGACGGGUGAGGAAUACAUCGGAAUCUACUUUUUCGUGGGGGAUAACGUAGGGAAACUUACGCUAAUACCGCAUACGACCUACGGGUGAAAGCAGGGGAUCUUCGGACCUUGCGCGAUUGAAUGAGCCGAUGUCGGAUUAGCUAGUUGGCGGGGUAAAGGCCCACCAAGGCGACGAUCCGUAGCUGGUCUGAGAGGAUGAUCAGCCACACUGGAACUGAGACACGGUCCAGACUCCUACGGGAGGCAGCAGUGGGGAAUAUUGGACAAUGGGCGCAAGCCUGAUCCAGCCAUACCGCGUGCGUGAAGAAGGCCUUCGGGUUGUAAAGCCCUUUUGUUGGGAAAGAAAAGCAGCAGGUUAAUACCCCGCUGUUCUGACGGUACCCAAAGAAUAAGCACCGGCUAACUUCGU
Molecule: ribosomal RNA, 491 nt
Filed under: uncultured bacterium
Lineage: Bacteria
Description: partial 16S ribosomal RNA
Rfam family: Bacterial small subunit ribosomal RNA
Source: RNAcentral